Otolemur garnettii (small-eared galago) is the source of this 314-nucleotide non-coding RNA. NCBI's taxonomy places the organism in Eukaryota, Metazoa, Chordata, Mammalia, Primates, Galagidae. The record is from Rfam.
GCCGGGCGUUGUGGUGGGCACCUGUGGUCCCAGCUACUUGGGAGGCGGAGGCAGGAGACUCGCUAGAGCCCAGGAGUUGGAGGUUGCUGUGAGCUAUAAUGCCACGGCACUCUACCCAGGGGGACAGCUUGAGGCUCUGUCUCAAAAAAAAAAAACAAAAAACAAAAAAAGACUUAACCAUAACCUCACUUUUUAUUUAUUUAUUGAUUGAUUUUGAGACAGAGCCUCAAGCUGUCACCCUGGAUAGAGUGCUGUGGCAUCACAGCUCACAGCAACCUCCAACUCCUGGGCUCAAGCGAGUCUCCUGCCUCUGU